RNAcentral lists this ribosomal RNA (1377 nucleotides) under Cocculina sp. MCZ:Mala:378319. RNAcentral describes it as "SSU rRNA". It matches the Rfam family "Eukaryotic small subunit ribosomal RNA", at positions 418 to 1804 of the family's 1831-position model. The record is from RNAcentral. Lineage: Eukaryota; Metazoa; Mollusca; Gastropoda; Cocculinidae.
AAGGAAGGCAGCAGGCACGCAACUUACCCAUUCCCGACACGGGGAGGUAGUGACGAAAAAUACCAAUACGGGACUCUGUCGAGGCUCCGGCAUUGGAAUGAGUAUACUUUAAAUCCUUUGCCAAGGAUCAAUUGGAGGGCAAGCCUGGUGCCAGCAGCCGCGGUAAUUCCAGCUCCGAUGGCAUAUAUUAAAGUUGCUGUAGUUAAAAGGCUCGUAGUUGGAUCUCAGCCGCAGAAACGAGGUGCACUUGACGGUGCAUCCUUGUGACUGUACUACAGCAGCCGUGUGCGCCGAGGUGGUCUUCACUGACCGCUUACGGUGUCCUGGCGUCGUUUACUUUGAAAAAAAUAGAGUGUUCACGGCGGUCCAUUCCUAUGGUCGCAUAAAGUUGCAUGGAAUAAUGAAAGAUGACCUCGGCUCAUUUUGUUGGCUUCGAUGAGUCCGAGGUAAUGACUAAUAAGAGCGGCCGGGGGCAUUCGUAUUACGACGGGAGAGGUGAAAUUCUACGAUCGUCGUAAGACGGACGGCAGCGAAAGCGUUUGUCAAGUGCGUUUUCAUUAGUCAGGAACGAAAGUUAGAGGCUCGAAGACGAUCAGAUACCGUCGUAGUUCUGACCGUAAACGAUGCCAGAUGACAAUCUGUCGAAGUUAGAUCCGCAUGACUCGGCAGGCAGCCACCUCGGGAAACCAAAACUUUUGGGCUCUAGGGGAAGUAUGGUUGCAAAACUGAAACUUAAAGGAAUUGACGGAAGGGCACCACCAGGAGUGGAGCCUGUGGCUUAAUUUGACUCAACACUGGGCAACUCACCCGGUCCGAACAGUUGCGAGGAUUGACAGAUUGAUAGCUCUUUCUCGAUUCAGUGGAUGGUGGUGCAUGGCCGUUCUUAGUUCGUGGAACGAUUUGUCUGGUUAAUUCCGAUAACGAACGAGACUCUAGCCUAUUAAAUAGUUGUGCGAUACUUCGGUAGUCGGCAAAAUACAACUUCUUAGAGGGACAUGUGGCUUAUAGCCACACGAGAAUGAGCAAUAACAGGUCUGUGAUGCCCUUAGAUGUUCGGGGCCGCACGCGGGCUACAAUGUUUGUAUCAGCGUGUAUACAUCCUGAGUCGAAAUGCUUGGGCAAGCCCAUGAACUGCGAAUUCAGUCGGGAUUGGGGCCUGUAACGGUGCCUCAUGAACGUGGAAUUCCAAGUAAGCAGGAGUCAACAGCUUCUGUUGACAGAGUCCCUGCCCUUUGUACACACCGCCCGUCGCUACUACCGAUGAACGGUUUGGUGAGAUCUCUGGAUUUGCCAGUGGGGCCUUGUGCUCCGCGUGCUGGUGAAGAAGUUGGUCGAACUUGGUCGUUUAGAGGAAGUAAAAGUCGUAACAAGGUUUUC